GGGGGUGUAGCUCACCUGGCUAGAGCGCUUGCAUGGCAUGCAAGAGGUAACCGGUUCAAGUCCGGUCAUCUCCA
Molecule: transfer RNA, 74 nt
Organism: Treponema succinifaciens DSM 2489
Lineage: Bacteria; Pseudomonadati; Spirochaetota; Spirochaetia; Treponematales; Treponemataceae
Rfam family: tRNA
About the family: Transfer RNA (tRNA) molecules are approximately 80 nucleotides in length. Their secondary structure includes four short double-helical elements and three loops (D, anti-codon, and T loops).
Source: Rfam